UAGACACUUGAUCUGAUCCAAAACACACACAUACAUUAUUACUGUGGAGCUCUGUGAUACACACUGACAUUAUUACUGUGGAGCUCUGUGAUACACACUGACAUUACUACUGUUUUAUUGCUGUGGAGCUCUGUGAUACACACUGACAUUAUUACUGUGGAGCUCUGUGAUACACACUGACAUUAUUACUGUUUUAUUGCUGUGGAGCUCUGUGAUACACACUGACAUUAUUGCUGUGGAGCUCUGUGAUACACACUGACAUUAUUACUGUGGAGCUCUGUGAUACACACUGACAUUAUUACUGUUUUGUUGCUGUGGAGCUCUGUGAUACACACUGACAUUAUUACUGUUUUAUUGCUGUGGAGCUAUGUGAUAUACUGUGGCAAACCUAGCCACUUAAG
Non-coding RNA from Pelobates cultripes (western spadefoot toad), 401 nucleotides. NCBI's taxonomy places the organism in Eukaryota, Metazoa, Chordata, Amphibia, Anura, Pelobatidae. The record is from the annotation of a GenBank genome assembly.